RNAcentral lists this ribosomal RNA (253 nucleotides) under uncultured bacterium. RNAcentral describes it as "partial 16S ribosomal RNA". It matches the Rfam family "Bacterial small subunit ribosomal RNA", at positions 524 to 776 of the family's 1533-position model. The record is from RNAcentral.
UACGGAGGGUGCAAGCGUUAUUCGGAAUUACUGGGCGUAAAGGGCGUGUAGGUGGUCUGAUAAGUCAGGUGUGAAAGCCCUUGGCUUAACCAAGGAAGUGCAUCUGAAACUAUCAGACUUGAGUACGGGAGGGGGAAGUGGAAUUCCUGGUGUAGAGGUGAAAUUCGUAGAUAUCAGGAGGAAUACCGGUGGCGAAGGCGACUUCCGGGACCGAUAAUGACUAUGAUACGCGAAAGCGUGGGGAGCAAACAGG